RNAcentral lists this ribosomal RNA (253 nucleotides) under uncultured bacterium. Its description in RNAcentral is "partial 16S ribosomal RNA". It matches the Rfam family "Bacterial small subunit ribosomal RNA", at positions 524 to 776 of the family's 1533-position model. The record is from RNAcentral.
UACGGAGGGUGCGAGCGUUGUCCGGAAUCACUGGGUUUAAAGGGUACGUAGGCGGCCCGUUAAGUCAGCGGUUAAAGACCCCGGCCCAACCGGGGGGUUGCCAUUGAUACUGGCGGGCUUGAGUGCCGUAGGGGCAGGCGGAAUUUGUGGUGUAGCGGUGAAAUGCAUAGAUACCACAAGGAACCCCGAAAGCGAAGGCAGCUUGCCGGGCGGCCACUGACGCUGAUGUACGAAAGCGUGGGGAUCAAACAGG